CGCAGCCGCGGUAAUUCCAGCUCCAAUAGCGUAUAUUAAAGUUGUUGCAGUUAAAAAGCUCGUAGUUGAAUUUCGGGAUCAAUAUUUCGGUCAUGCCGUUGGUAUGCACUGUUAUCAUUGAUUUCUCACCUUCUAAAGAACCGUAAUGCCAUUAAUUUGGUGUUACGGGGAAUUAGGACUGUUACCUUGAAAAAUUAGAGUGUUUAAAGCAGGCUCACGCUUGAAUACAUUAGCAUGGAAUAAUGAAAUAGGACGUUUGAUUCUAUUUUGUUGGUUUCUAGGAUCGACGUAAUGAUUAAUAGGGAUAGUUGGGGGCAUUAGUAUUCAAUUGUCAGAGGUGAAAUUCUUGGAUUUAUUGAAGACUAACUACUGCGAAAGCAUUUGCCAAGGAUGUUUUCAUUAAUCAAGAACGAAAGUUAGGGGAUCGAAGACGAUCAGAUACCGUCGUAGUCUUAACCAUAAACUAUGCCGACUAGGAUCGGAUGAUGUUAAUUUUUAAUGUACUCAUUCGGCGCCU
Molecule: ribosomal RNA, 517 nt
Filed under: uncultured Glomus
Lineage: Eukaryota; Fungi; Glomeromycota; Glomeromycetes; Glomerales; Glomeraceae
Description: SSU rRNA
Rfam family: Eukaryotic small subunit ribosomal RNA
Source: RNAcentral